CCAUGGCAGCAGUGAGAGGAACCUCAAAAUUCCAAAUUCCAAAUUUUGAAAUCGACAAAAUAAUAAUAAUAAUAAAAAAAAGAAACGGGCAGAUUGAGUUUGUAAAACGCCUACCAAAUGACCGUCUCCUUCAAAAACGAAAACUUUUGCCGUAUUCCUUUCGAAAUACCCGCGCUCCGUUCGAAAUCUCCGCCCUCGGUUCUAAAUCGCCGUGCUCAGUUCGAAAUCGCCGUGCUCCGUUCGUGUUGACAUUGGGACUCACAGUCUUCGAAAUCUCCGUGCUUGAUUCAAGUUUAAGGUUGACAUUGGAACUCCGUCGUGCCCUCCUCCGUUCGGUGCUUCGUCGCGGUGAACUGAAGAGGAAGUUAUUUAAUUGAAGCACUUCUAAAGUGGGAGAUUGUGGAGCUUGAAAUUAGACGUUGGCUUGUAUUGGUAAGGUGAAUAUUUUUUUUUUUCGUUUAUUCUAUAGCAAAUUUUCAUAUUUCAUACAGAUUGAUUUCUCUUUCUACCUAUAUAUAAUAUAUCCACAUUUAACUAAAUUAUAAGUUCAGCUAUGAGUAAUUAGAACCUUAGGUGGAAAUGUCAAAGCAAUUUUAAACCCCUAAUGAAAAUUUUAAAUUAAACUGCAAUCAUAGUAUUUAGUCACAACUAAUGGUAAGAAACCACUUGAUGUAUCUUAUAUCCGAGAUGUACUUCUCUCCCCGUUCCUUUCAGUUCUGUACAUCCUUUAUUGACAGUUCUUCAACUGAGCUGGCAAGCCUAAGUUUUAUUUGAAUAAAAUUUAUGUUUUCUUUUGUGCAUCUGAUUUAGUUUGUAGCUGAGACUUUAAGAGAGGUGUUUGGGCUCCCAACUUCAAGUAUGUGGGGUGUGCUAUUAUACUUCAUUCUGUUUAUUAUUUUCUACUCAUUUUCUCUUUAUUACACGUUUACUAUUUUCUACCUAGCCUAAAAUACUCUAUACUCCAAACACAAAUUAUUAUAGUCAUACUAUUAUCUGUCACGGACUCUAAUAACCAAACCACAGAUUAUAAUAGUCAAGUCGGUGGCCUGAACUCCUAAAUUCUAAUAUCCUAGUAAGACAGUGGCGAGCUUGAGCUAGUUAUUUUAUCUGUUAGUAACUUAUGUUCUAAAUUGUCACGUUGUAACGCCAGUAUACUGAUUUGGUUUUGGUGUUCCGUCUAUAUUACGGAAAGCAAAGUAAUGGCUUCAAAAAAAGUAAUCUUGGUAUCCAUUUUUGCUAUCUCUAUAUUUAAACUCUUAAACUCUCUGUAUUUGUCUCUUUCUGUGUCUCCAUGAACAAUGAGAAGCCAAUACAAACAGAUGAAUUCUCUGUUUGGUUCUCUUUCUCUAUCUCGAUGUUGGGGAGAAAAGCUAAAUAUUUGAGGCAUUGAUUUCAGGAAUUGGUGCAAGGGUUUGAUCAAGAGGCUGCUGCAGUUGUUGUGGCAAGAUUAACUUCAUUGAAAAUGGAGAUGGAGUUAUUUUCAAAUUUUAUAUUUCAUUUAUUUAGUUGAUUUUUCAUGAAACAAUCUUUUUUCUUCUUUCCGAGAGCCACCCCAGCCUACUUAAUUUGUUAAAUCUAUGUCUAGCCAACACAAAAGAAAAUGAUAGUGAAUUUAAGUUUGUUGGGAGGGAGUAUGAGCGGUAUUGAACUUGAGAAGUUUGCAUUACAGAACUUGUGAUCCUUGCGUGGAUUCAGGUGCUACUUAUGAAUGGGAGGAACUGAAAAUUUGUCUCGGCUCAUGAAAUUACUUUUUUUCUUUUUGUGGCAUGCGUGUGAGAGAGGAUUAUUUACUUCAGUGAAAUAAAUGUCCCUUUGGGGACAUCUGAUACUUAAGUGAAAUAAAUUAUAAGGAUAAAUUUAGUCCAAUGGGCUUUUACUUGCUAAUUUCUUGGAAUUCUGCACCUGUCAUCAGGGGUGAUUGAAUGCAAUAUUUAGGGAAGAUUAUCCUCAAAACACUCUUUAGGCGUCCAUUUUUGUAGCUGGGGUUGUAUUUUUUAUUUUUUUCCGUAUGCAUUUUAUACUUUCACUUUUCUCAGCUUGGUUUCUUAUAUAUAAAAAAAAAGAAUAUAAAACCCAGGAAUGGUAUUCUAUGAAACUUAGAGGUUUGGUCAGGGGAAAAAGAAUUUCAAGAAGAACUCGAGGAGUCGUAUAAACCUUUGGGAAAAUAUUUCUUCUGUAUCCUGGCCUCUCUGGUACUUGCUCAAGACAUCCUUUAGUUAAUAAUGUUAACUCAAAACUGAACAAUAUCUUUUGUAAACUUACAUCUCUUUUUUGUUAAUGAAAUUUCUUUCUUUUAGAAAGAUACAGAAGAUAAAAUAUUAUGUUACAAGAGAAAUGAACCAACCAGUCAGCUAAGGUUUGUAAGAUGCUUGUAAUCCGUAAUUACUUUUAUGAUUUUUGGCUCAUGGGGAGAAGGAAAAAUACAAAAGCAUGAAUGGACUGGUAGAUUCCGUAAUUACUUUUAUUCCCAUGUUGCUUUUAAUAAAGAAAUUCACGCCCCUAGUGUUACACUUGAAGUUCACGGGUGCUUUAAGAUUUUGUAGAUUUUGGAAUCCUCCUUGAGGUUUAAGAUUAAUCUAUCAAUAAGUUUAGAGGGCGGUAUUCCACAGGGAGCAUACAUACUUGGGCAACUCUUAGGUAUAUUCCUUGUAAACUUGCGCGUAUGAAUAAAGGAAUACCAUUUUCCUUAAGAUAAAUGCUCAAAACUCAAUGCUCAAAUGUAGAAUUAAUAAAAAUGAACUUCAAUAAUUUGUUGGAUUUGAAAUCUAUUGGCUCCAAUUUGAAUAUCAAUGGUUUUCAUUCUUAUGGGAGCCGGACUAAUUUUGAUGGCGAUGCUUCAAAUUUUGAAGCUAAUUGAGUGAUGCUAAUGGUUUUCAUUCUGAGUUGACAAACGACGGUGAGAGCAUUGAGGAUAAUGGCGAGGAGCUGGAUGAUUUUGAUGGCUGGGAAUUUAAGGUUGCAGAGUCGGUUACGCCUACAGGUGAUGAUUAGAACUCAAAGGUACCGUGCAUAUUAGGGGUUAAUUUAUCUAGUCUUGAUCUUCUAGGGUUUCUUCAUCAGUAUUGGUUGAUGUUGAGUAUGACCUAUUGAUUCUCAAAGAACAGAAAACAGAACUGGAAUUAACGUGCUUCAAUCUGACAGGGAAAAUGACCUCCAUUUUGUUUGUUGUUUGGAUUUCUUUUCUCAUACUUCAAGUUGUGAAGAUCAAUGAUUGAUAGAAUAGUCAAAUUGCUACAAGCACUAUAAUGACAAUCUUCAUAAAAUACUGAUGUUUUUGGAUUUGGCAUAUUGGUUCUUGAACUCUUGACAAGGCAAAAAGCACUUGAUGCCGGCAAUGGUUAAAUUUGAAAGGGAAUGAUCCUCGAAUGGUUAUGGGGAAACAACUGCAGCGACAGCAAAUAGAUUAGGAUUGAAAAACGUUUACUACCCCAAGAAUCCUGGCUUGGAAGGGAUCAAUGCUCGUGAAAGCAAGUGUUUUUUGUUGUCAAUAUUUAUGCACUAUGUUGAACUUUAAAUGUCUUUUUAUGUUAAAAAGUUUCAUGACUGUGUAAUUUUGCUAUUCUCAUUACAAAAAUGGGAUCUCACAACACCAUCAAUGUCGACGGAUAGAGGACAUCGGCAGUGGGGGACUCCUGAUGCGACGUCGGAGACGGUUUCCCUGUGGCAUUGUCCAUGACGUUGGGAAUGCCCAACGUUGUUUGUGCGUCAGGAGAUAUACAUAUUUUCAAUUAUUAUAUUCAACUUUUUUUUUUU
Long non-coding RNA from Cucumis melo (muskmelon), 3753 nucleotides. RefSeq lists it as uncharacterized. The transcript has 8 exons. The record is from RefSeq and is a predicted model, not a curated record. Lineage: Eukaryota; Viridiplantae; Streptophyta; Magnoliopsida; Cucurbitales; Cucurbitaceae.